This 605-nucleotide ribosomal RNA is filed under the name Salmonella enterica. Its description in RNAcentral is "bacterial LSU rRNA". It matches the Rfam family "Bacterial large subunit ribosomal RNA", at positions 1 to 623 of the family's 2925-position model. Lineage: Bacteria; Pseudomonadati; Pseudomonadota; Gammaproteobacteria; Enterobacterales; Enterobacteriaceae. The record is from RNAcentral.
GGGUUGUGAGGUUAAGCGACUAAGCGUACACGGUGGAUGCCCUGGCAGUCAGAGGCGAUGAAGGACGUGCUAAUCUGCGAUAAGCGCCGGUAAGGUGAUAUGAACCGUUAUAACCGGCGAUUUCCGAAUGGGGAAACCCAGUGUGACUCGUCACACUAUCAUUAACUGAAUCCAUAGGUUAAUGAGGCGAACCGGGGGAACUGAAACAUCUAAGUACCCCGAGGAAAAGAAAUCAACCGAGAUUCCCCCAGUAGCGGCGAGCGAACGGGGAGGAGCCCAGAGCCUGAAUCAGCAUGUGUGUUAGUGGAAGCGUCUGGAAAGGCGCGCGAUACAGGGUGACAGCCCCGUACACAAAAGCGCAUGUGCUGUGAGCUCGAUGAGUAGGGCGGGACACGUGGUAUCCUGUCUGAAUAUGGGGGGACCAUCCUCCAAGGCUAAAUACUCCUGACUGACCGAUAGUGAACCAGUACCGUGAGGGAAAGGCGAAAAGAACCCCGGCGAGGGGAGUGAAAAAGAACCUGAAACCGUGUACGUACAAGCAGUGGGAGCCCCACCACUAAGCCAGUGGUGAACUCCACAUACGCAUCCUUUGCUGAGGAUACGGU